Molecule: ribosomal RNA, 346 nt
Filed under: uncultured bacterium
Lineage: Bacteria
Description: partial 16S ribosomal RNA
Rfam family: Bacterial small subunit ribosomal RNA
Source: RNAcentral
CCUACGGGAGGCAGCAGUGGGGAAUAUUGCGCAAUGGGCGAAAGCCUGACGCAGCGACGCCGCGUGAGGGAUGAAGGUCUUCGGAGCGUAAACCUCUGUCAGCAGGGAAGAAAGGUCACGGUGCUAAGCAGCAGUGAAUUGACGGUACCGGCAAAGGAAGCACCGGCUAACUCCGUGCCAGCAGCCGCGGUAAGACGGAGGGGGCGAGCGUUAAGCGGAAUUACUGGGAGUAAAGCGCUCGUAGGCGGUAUGUCAAGUCAAGGGUGAAAUCCCCGCGCUCAACGUGGGAACUGCCUUUGAAACUGGCAAUCUGGCGUGUGUGCGAGGAUAGUGGAAUUCCUGGUGU